Hemiscyllium ocellatum (epaulette shark) is the source of this 961-nucleotide long non-coding RNA. RefSeq lists it as uncharacterized. The transcript has 5 exons. The record is from RefSeq and is a predicted model, not a curated record. Lineage: Eukaryota; Metazoa; Chordata; Chondrichthyes; Orectolobiformes; Hemiscylliidae.
AUUGAGGAGUAUUUACUCAGUGAGUGCAAGAACUUUGUUUGAAACAGACCGCAAUGGAGAGAUCAGCGCCCAGGGAAGCGAGGGAACAGCAGGCUCCUUCCAGCGGCACAUCGGGAUGGGAGCCUGGGACUGAUUCGGGGGUUGUGAUUCAAAUUCAAAGAAGACAGAAGAUGUGACGAGUUAGAAUUGACAAUGGGGCAGUCGUGGUGUGUUGGAACACCGAGCAAGUACUCAAAGGACCAAGAUAAAGUAAUAUUCCCUCGGUACAGAGCCAAGUGUGACCAGCUGCUUCGAACAAACAGCAGGAUGUGGUCAUCUCUGCCAAGGUGGGAAGUGGAUGCGAUUCUGAAAUAUCCUUGAACCAAUCGACUUGCUCAGCCAGAAGGCAGUGAAGAGUUUGCAAAGGGUUAGGAAUCACGUGCAGAGCAGAGUGGAUGCUGCUAACCUGCUGAAAUUCUGAAGCAAUGUUUUUUAAAAGUGAGUUCAUGUCAAGACUUCAGCUGGACCCCAGUGAAGAAUGAGCACAGAUCAAAGAUGAAGAAUGAAUUACCUAGCUCUGUGAGGUUGAUGGAAUUCCUGGUCAUGUUAAAUCUCGUUCCAACCCCUGUUGAUUGUGACGCACAGAUAUCUGCCUUGGUGCUGGGACUGGAAGGAUUCAAUGGACAGCUCUCUCCUGUCUGAGCUCAAGUUGUAAUUACCGCUGGCAUUGUUUAAGGCUUAUCUUUGAAAGUACCAUUGAAAGUACGGUCCUGUACCACGACACAGUACACACUCUUGAACAAGACGAUUCCCAAUUAGAACCUCCAUUUUAUUGACUCUGGGGGGUGAGGAAAACCCCAGCAACAGGAACUGUAACAAAACAAGACAAAGAGGAAAUAAAAGAUUGGAUGUUGAAAUUGUCUUUCUUUCCACAGAUGUUAACUUCCACGACCGAAUAAUAACUGACAGAAAGAAGAAAUAA